This 339-nucleotide unclassified non-coding RNA is filed under the name soil metagenome. Its description in RNAcentral is "partial contains 5.8S ribosomal RNA, internal transcribed spacer 2, and large subunit ribosomal RNA". The stretch from base 1 to 120 matches the Rfam family "5.8S ribosomal RNA", at positions 35 to 154 of the family's 154-position model. The record is from RNAcentral.
GAUGAAGAACGCAGCGAAAUGCGAUACGUAGUGUGAAUUGCAGAAUUCAGUGAAUCAUCGAAUCUUUGAACGCACAUUGCACCUCUCGGUAUUCCGGGAGGUAUGCCUGUCCGAGCGUCAUUUGUACCCUCAAGCUCUGCUUGGUGUUGGGUGUUUGUUCCGCCUCUGUGUGUGAACUCGCCUCAAAACAAUUGGCAGCCGGCGUACUUGUUUCGGAGCGCAGCACAUUUUGCGAUCCAGAUCAACGUACAGCGGCAUCCAAGAAGCCUUAUUUAACGCUCUUGACCUCGGAUCAGGUAGGGAUACCCGCUGAACUUAAGCAUAUCAAUAAGCGGAGGA